AUACGGAGGAUGCGAGCGUUAUCCGGAUUUAUUGGGUUUAAAGGGAGCGUAGGCGGGAGCUUAAGUCAGCGGUUAAAUGGUGCGGCUCAACCGUGCCCUGCCGUUGAAACUGGGUUUCUUGAGAGUGCAAGAGGCGGAUGGAAUUCAUGGUGUAGCGGUGAAAUGCUUAGAUAUCAUGAAGAACUCCGAUUGCGAAGGCAGUCCGCUGGGGCACGUCUGACGCUGAUGCUCGAAGGUGCGGGAAUCAAACAGGAUUAGAUCCCCUGGUAGUCCGCACGGUAAACGAUGAUUACCCGCUGUCGGCGGCAGACAGUCGGCGGCCAAGCGAAAGCGAUAAGUAAUCCACCUGGGGAGUACGCCGGCAACGGUGAAACUCAAAUGAAUUGACGGGG
RNAcentral lists this ribosomal RNA (392 nucleotides) under uncultured bacterium. Its description in RNAcentral is "partial 16S ribosomal RNA". It matches the Rfam family "Bacterial small subunit ribosomal RNA", at positions 523 to 918 of the family's 1533-position model. The record is from RNAcentral.